UCCCACGUAAAGAUGUUGUUUCACGUUCUAUUUAUUUGCACUCUGAUAUUCCAUACCCCAGACAUUUAUGGGGCGGUUUAUACAGUUGCUAAUGCAACCGAUAAAUUUACCGAUUUUAAGCUAAAAUAUAAUAAACAAUAUAAAGACUCGUUUGAUGAAAGUAAUCAUUAUUUGGCAUUUAUAAACAACUUGAAUGCCGCUGCGGCAUUGAAUGCUACAUCGCAAGGGAGCAAGACCGUCUAUGUGAUGAAUAAAUAUGCAGAUUUGGACCCGGCGGAAGUUGAGGAAAGCUACGCUAUUCACUUAAAGACUUAUGAUGCGGUCAAAGAAGGUGAUCACCAGCAGGCAUUAAGAAGUGAUCAUGGAAUUGAAAUUAAUGACGAUAAUCUGUUUAAUUUAAAAGAUUCAGACGAACUUUUUCAAAAGUAUAUUGAAGAGGAACACAGAACCUUCAAGGACAAGCGCGAUGGCUUUUUACAUUUCUACAGGUUUGUUAAAACACUGGCACAGAAAAAUAGAGGCAUCUACGAAGGCAGCGACACUCCGGACCUUGGGCAUUCUGCGGAUAUAUUGACCGAAAGCAAAGAGUUCUUCUAUUGAGG
Molecule: long non-coding RNA, 602 nt
Organism: Cydia splendana
Lineage: Eukaryota; Metazoa; Arthropoda; Insecta; Lepidoptera; Tortricidae
Exons: 3
Source: RefSeq, a predicted model, not a curated record